RNAcentral lists this ribosomal RNA (1062 nucleotides) under Triticum aestivum (bread wheat). RNAcentral's name for it is "partial small subunit ribosomal RNA". The record is from RNAcentral. Lineage: Eukaryota; Viridiplantae; Streptophyta; Magnoliopsida; Poales; Poaceae.
AUGUUUGAGUGUGCCACGAGCCGUGGCAUCCUUGAGCCUAUCCCUCGGAAUGCCGUAAGGACGAGGACCAGCCUUUAUGCUGAUGAUGCUGCAAUUUUUUCCUCGCCGGAUCGCUUUCAACUACUUGCUAUCUUCAAGAUUCUAGAGGUUUUUGGGUCCAUCUCUGGCCUCAAAAUCAACCCGGCUAAAUGUGUCGCUUACCCUAUCAGUUGCCAACAGAACGAUGUGCAGUCGUAUCUGGCAAGCUUUGGCGGUUCUGUUGGAUCUUUUCCGUGCAAGUAUCUUGGGCUCCCCCUCUCCUUCAAAAAGCUGAGAAGGAUUGAUUUACAACCAUUCCUUGACAAGGGCUCUGGGAGGUUAAGCAGAUGGAAAGGAAAGCUUCUCAACCGGACAGGUCGCCUGGAUCUGAUCAAUUCUGUCCUCACAGCCACCAUCACCUUCUUCCUCACUGCCUUCACCCCGAAUGGAUGGUUCACUAGGAAGUUUGACAGGUUGAGACGUAAUUUUCUUUGGAAUGCCGAUGAGGAGGCCCACGGUGGAAAAUGCCUUGUUAAUUGGAAAAGGAUCUGCGCACCCAAGAAUGUGGGUGGCCUGGGUAUUAAGGAUAUCCACGCCUUCGGCCGUGCUCUCCGCCUUCGCUGGCCUUGGUAUGAAUGGGAUGAGGUUCAGAGACCAUGGCAGGGGACUCCGGUGCCUUGUGAACAGGCCGAUUUGAACCUAUUUGUGGCCUGUACAACCAUUUCUUUAGGCGAUGGUCGAACCAUAAAUUUUUGGAGUCACAGAUGGCUACAGGGUCUUGCUCCCAAGGAGAUUGCCCCAGAAUUGUUCAAAAUGGCCAGAUCUAAGAAGUUGACUGUACGUGAUGCGUUGUCCAAUGACUCUUGGAUGAGAGGUUUGAUGAAUAUUAGCUCAUCGGUUUUAAUGGACUCCUUCAUCAGCCUAUGGUGGACUUUGCAAGGAAUCACCCUUCAGCCUUGCCCGGAUUCAAUCCGUCGGAAUCUAACCGCUAAUGGAAUUUACACCGCCAAGUCUGCCUUACUGCCUAUCACUUUCAGUUUCUAA